Molecule: non-coding RNA, 124 nt
Organism: Triticum urartu
Lineage: Eukaryota; Viridiplantae; Streptophyta; Magnoliopsida; Poales; Poaceae
Source: Rfam
CGGAUACUCCCUUCGUCCGGAAAUACUUGUCCUAGAAAUGAAUAAAAUGAAUGUAUCUAUAACUAAAAUAAGUCUAUAUACAAUCAUUUUCAAGACAAGUAUUUCCGAAUGGAGGGAGUACGUC